GACGAACGCUGGCGGCGUGCCUAAUACAUGCAAGUAGAACGCUGAAGGAGGAGCUUGCUCUUCUGGAUGAGUUGCGAACGGGUGAGUAACGCGUAGGUAACCUGCCUGGUAGCGGGGGAUAACUAUUGGAAACGAUAGCUAAUACCGCAUAACAGUAGAUGUUGCAUGACAUUUACUUAAAAGGUGCAAUUGCAUCACUACCAGAUGGACCUGCGUUGUAUUAGCUAGUUGGUGGGGUAACGGCACACCAAGGCGACGAUACAUAGCCGACCUGAGAGGGUGAUCGGCCACACUGGGACUGAGACACGGCCCAGACUCCUACGGGAGGCAGCAGUAGGGAAUCUUCGGCAAUGGACGGAAGUCUGACCGAGCAACGCCGCGUGAGUGAAGAAGGUUGUCGGAUCGUAAAGCUCUGUUGUAAGAGAAGAACGAGUGUGAGAGUGGAAAGUUCACACUGUGACGGUAUCUUACCAGAAAGGGACGGCUAACUACGUG
Molecule: ribosomal RNA, 495 nt
Filed under: uncultured bacterium
Lineage: Bacteria
Description: partial 16S ribosomal RNA
Rfam family: Bacterial small subunit ribosomal RNA
Source: RNAcentral